Molecule: long non-coding RNA, 687 nt
Organism: Bombyx mori (domestic silkworm)
Lineage: Eukaryota; Metazoa; Arthropoda; Insecta; Lepidoptera; Bombycidae
Exons: 2
Source: RefSeq, a predicted model, not a curated record
GAGUAUAAGUGCGUGUGUCAAAUACACGGUAGUGUGUUUAUUGUUUUUUUUUAAAUUAAAUAUGUAUUAUUAAUGCAUAAUUUAAAAAAAUAUUAGAAUUCUGCACUCCUUCUCUAUAUUCUCUAUAAGUGUGGGAAAUUUCAUACUCCGUCCGUGCAAUUUUCGUAAAAAGGGGUACAAAGUUAUUGCUUCUCGUUAUUAAUAUAUAGAAUAUAGAUAGUCACUCAUAAAAAAUACGUUAUACAAAAUUGAGACUUCGAGCUCAUGUAAUAAGGUUGGGUAAUGUAAGUGGACAUUCACAUUGUGGAGUCUAUGAUCUUGGAUAAUAAUUGAACACAAGCUGAGCCUCGAACUCUACUUACUACUACUACUUUUAGCGCAGUAAUAAUGUAGCAACAUUGGGAGCGAGACGUAAACACAUUGGUCCAAUUUGUGUGGUGCGAUCGUGAACGUGCCCUUUGAUGUCGAUGUUUAUGAAGAUUCUCGCUUCGCUACCGAAAAAAUAAACGAAUGUACACGGUCUCUAAGCAUACGUAUUUUAACAUCUGUAUUGCUACUCUUUAUGGAGACGAAUAAUCCUUCUCGCUAGGUACACAAGUUUUUUUUAUCGUAAUAUACAAACAUGUUAAUUUUAAAAUUAUUAUUGUGAUACAGUUUGAAUAAUUAUAUUCUAAUUUAGAAAAAUAA